Limulus polyphemus (Atlantic horseshoe crab) is the source of this 494-nucleotide long non-coding RNA. RefSeq lists it as uncharacterized. The transcript has 4 exons. Lineage: Eukaryota; Metazoa; Arthropoda; Merostomata; Xiphosura; Limulidae. The record is from RefSeq and is a predicted model, not a curated record.
UAGAAAAGCCUGGAAAAGUGAACGAGAUGAGAGAGUACAUGGGUAAAAUCUUGAAAGAAAAGUCAGAUGGGCUUCCAGGUGCACUUCGAGAGUGUGAAUUUGCAAAAUUUCCUUACGAGAAGUAUGAAGAUUACUUGAAUGAAUUGUGCAAAGAACAAAAAUAUGCUGAUGUACAGGAAAUCAAUCAAUGUGUCGCUGAAACAUUUGCAGCAGUUCAAAAGGAUCCAGAAUCUACACUCUCUGAAAUGAUCGCUAACUGUUCCUAAACACAUGAUGUUGCCUACACGCUUUUGGAAGAAGAUGAACUGACAAUGAGGAGAGAUUCUACACUUGAUAAUGUCAUCAUGGUUCCAUCUAUUCCUGUGGGAAAUCUGUGGAGAGGCAAGAGGCCUUAUUUGUGUCAGAGAGGGUCAUACAUCUCCCGCUAACAAAAUCACUUCCCUUUGAGAUUAGUGUCACAUUUCUCCUUUCUGCUAUAAAUCCUCAGUGUCCAC